AGCCUAAAGUUUUAUUUUAGGUGACACCUGCCCAGUGCUAGAUCUGUAAACGGCCGCAGUACCUUGACUGUGCUAAGGUAGCAUAAUCAGUUGGCUUUUAAAUGGAGUCGGGAAUGAAUGGGAUAAUGGGGUUAAGCUGUCUCUACUGCAUUAACUUUAAUUUAGCUAUUAGGUGAAAAUGCCUAAGAUUAGAAAAAAGACGAGAAGACCCUAGGAGUUUUAAUAAAAGGACUACAUUUAGGCUUACAUUUUUGUUGGGGCGACAGGGGAAGAGUAUUAAACCUCUCUUUUUUUAUAUGCCAGACUUCGUAUGGCAAUUUAAACUACCCUAGGGAUAACAGCGUAAUUUUUUUAUGAGUUUGCGACCUCGAUGUUGGACUAGGAAUUUAAUAGGCUA
RNAcentral lists this ribosomal RNA (397 nucleotides) under Cyerce sp. 4 GC-2014. Its description in RNAcentral is "partial small subunit ribosomal RNA". It matches the Rfam family "Bacterial large subunit ribosomal RNA", at positions 1829 to 2555 of the family's 2925-position model. Lineage: Eukaryota; Metazoa; Mollusca; Gastropoda; Caliphyllidae. The record is from RNAcentral.